This 162-nucleotide ribosomal RNA is filed under the name Rochefortia cubensis. RNAcentral describes it as "5.8S ribosomal RNA". It matches the Rfam family "5.8S ribosomal RNA". Rfam says of the family: 5.8S ribosomal RNA (5.8S rRNA) is a component of the large subunit of the eukaryotic ribosome. It is transcribed by RNA polymerase I as part of the 45S precursor that also contains 18S and 28S rRNA. Lineage: Eukaryota; Viridiplantae; Streptophyta; Magnoliopsida; Boraginales; Ehretiaceae. The record is from RNAcentral.
AAACGACUCUCGGCAACGGAUAUCUCGGCUCUCGCAUCGAUGAAGAACGYAGCGAAAUGCGAUACUUGGUGUGAAUUGCAGAAUCCCGUGAACCAUCGAGUCUUUGAACGCAAGUUGCGCCCGAAGCCUUCGGGCUGAGGGCACGUCUGCCUGGGCGUCACG